CAGGGAAUCUUGCGCAAUGGGCGAAAGCCUGACGCAGCGACACCGCGUGGGGGAAGAAGGCUUUCGGGUUGUAAACCCCUUUUCUCGGGGAAGAGAGAGGACGUUACCCAAGGAAUAAGCAUCGGCUAACUACGUGCCAGCAGCCGCGGUAAUACGUAGGAUGCGAGCGUUGUCCGGAUUUACUGGGCGUAAAGGGCGAGUAGGCGGAUUGUUAAGUCUCAUGUGAAAUCUCCCGGCUUAACUGGGAGGGGUCAUGGGAAACUAGCAAACUUGAGGGCAGCAGAGGAAAGUGGAAUUCCCGGAGUAGCGGUGAUAUGCGUAGAUACCGGGAGGAACACCCGAGGCGAAGGCGACUUUCUGGGCUGUACCUGACGCUGAGGCGCGAAAGCAUGGGGAGCGAACCGG
RNAcentral lists this ribosomal RNA (405 nucleotides) under uncultured bacterium. Its description in RNAcentral is "bacterial SSU rRNA". It matches the Rfam family "Bacterial small subunit ribosomal RNA", at positions 355 to 776 of the family's 1533-position model. The record is from RNAcentral.